RNAcentral lists this ribosomal RNA (570 nucleotides) under Triticum aestivum (bread wheat). Its description in RNAcentral is "partial small subunit ribosomal RNA". Lineage: Eukaryota; Viridiplantae; Streptophyta; Magnoliopsida; Poales; Poaceae. The record is from RNAcentral.
AUGGCAGCCAAUCCAGAUCGGGAGGUGUGCCACCGGGCAGGGAGAGGAGGGAAGAUGCUGCUGCCGGUGAUGGCCGUCUUGGCGGCGGCGGUGCUGGCGUCGCUGCCGUCGGCGGCGGUGGCGACCAACUACACGGUGGGCGACGAGAAGGGGUGGAACCCCAAGGUGGACUACACCUCCUGGGUGAAGAAGCACCGCCCCUUCUACAAGGGCGACUGGCUCCUGUUCGAGUACCAGAAUGGGCGGUCGGACGUGGUGCAGGUGGACGAGGUCGGGUACGACAACUGCGACAAGGAGAGCGCCAUCAGCAGCCACAGCAAGGGGACCAGCUACGCGUUCCAGCUCAAGGAGGCCAAGGACUACUUCUUCAUCUGCAGCUACGGCUACUGCUACUCCGGCAUGAAGCUCGCCGUCACCGCCAAGAAGGGCCCCGCCUCUUCCUCCCCCGACUCCGGCUCAUCCUCCUCCUCCUCGCCGGCCGCCAAGUCAUCCUCCAAAUCCGCCGCCGCCCCCAUCGCCGCCCGCAACGCCGCCGCCCUCGCCGCCGCCAUGCUACUCAGGUUGCUCUGA